CUUCCAGUUUCCCUCAUUUUCGUAAGAUCUUUUCUUCUUUUCUAUGAGCCAACAAGAGUUUCACCCGAGAGAGGGAGAGAGAGAGAGAGGGAGAGAUGCCUGCGGGGCUAGUUGAGGUGAUAUAAUGAUGCCAGUUCAGUAAAUUACGUAUAAACCUGUCUUUAGAACGCUAUGGAAGAGACGUAAUUUGACACUCCAACAGGACGUAACAUCAAAAGAAACUAAUCCCCCCCACCCCCGCUGUCCUUCCACUUCUUUCACGCCCCCCCCCUCACCCCUCUCAUCCCUCACCUCCUCAUCUCAGGGAAUCAAAUGUUAAAAGGAAAGCCUGAAGCACUAGUUACAGGUUACCUUAUUUGAAAAUUGUGACAAUCUCUCUCUCUCUCUCUCUCUCUCUCUCUCUCUCUCUCUCUCUCUCUCUCUCUCUCUCUACCUACAUGAAUUUGACUGAUUUUAUGAUAAUACUAAAGGAAAGUCAAAGUAGUAACCGUGACGAUCUGACAGUAAUGAUAUACACACGUUCUUCCUCCGUAUGUUUCAGUAUGAAGUCACUAUGAAAGUCUCAUAAUAUUGAAGUACAGUAUUAAUUCCUCGUCUUUCCUUCUUCUUCUUCCUCAUGGGCCGCUACACACUAUUGCUAGCAACCCGACCACUUUAAUAGGUUUCUGUUGAAGUGUCUCAGGUUUUUAAGAGUUUUUUUUUUUACUGAUGUAGUGACCAAUUAACAAGAUUUACACUCUAUUAACAGGAGAGACUAAACUCUUGUGAACCCGGGCUGAUCAUCUCUGCGGCCUUGAAGACUAUAGUCGUGGUGAGAGAAUAAAGAGUUUGUGAACAGGGACCUUUAAAUCAGUCAGGGAGAAAGUUAGUUAAUUGACCGAUCCUUCUUUAAUGCAUCGUGGUCACUGGUACUCCAAUAACAAACGAGUGAGUUAUAGAAGGAAAAAAAAAUAAUAAAGUCCCGGAGGUGAAGAAUAAAGAAAUAAGCAAUACAAGGAAAGAAAAAAAAUUAAGACGAGAGGUGAAGAAAACAAAUUAGGUAUACAGGUAAGAAAUAAAGUAGCAGAGGUGAGGGAGCAAAACAAAUUAAUGGCGUAGAAGUGAAGAAACAAAACAAAUAAUCUUGCAGGUAAAAAUGUAAAAAAAAAAAAAAAAAAAACUAAUAAAUGAGCGAUGUAACUAAAAUAAGAACUACGAUGUAACUAAAAUAAGAAAUAGUUAUAUGAGCGGAGAAACAAACAAAUGAGGUGUACAAGUAAAACAAAGUCGUAGAGGGGAAGAAAAUAUACAAUGAAAUACAUUAUGCAGGCGAGUGAGCGAGUGAGUGAGCGAGCGUACCUAUACCACAAACACGUCAUUCACCUAGUCAUGCUGAUCACGUGCUGCACUCGUGACGGCCAGCCAUUUGAAGAGUUCGUAGCCCGAUGUAUGGGUAAAAGCUACCACCGUAUUUUGAAGCAUCUGUACCUCACCUUUACUACAUUUAAAAGGUUGUAGUUGAAGUUACUGGAUGUUUUAGGAGUGUUUUUUUGCGGUUCUAGUUGCAUUUGAUAAACUUUCUGCAUUAUUGACAGAAAGAAAAUAUUGUUGAGAACCUGGUUUGUCAUGUCUGUUGUCUUAGAAAAUAGUCGCGGUGAUGGAGUAAAGUUCUCACACAUUCUGUUUUGUUGGGGUGGUGACCAGGCAAGGAGUGACCACAAUGAAAGGGUGAACAGAUAACAGGGACUUUCAAAUAUUACAUUAACUUAACUUGAUACUACAAAGCACAUUCUUGUAAGCCCCCUUCUUACUUGCAGACUCUUAAUCUCUACAGUCCUGGGACACAUUUGCACCACGAGUUUUCCGUAUGAUUAGACGAUUUGAUUUACAUUAGGAAGGAUUUGUGGAGGUCAGAGGAUUAAUGACCUGAGUCUUCACUAUUCUAUAACCCACAUAAGUUCCUGAGGCUGCUUAACAUCGCCAAAUAGUAAGUAGGAUGAAUGUAACGCAUCAUGGUACUGGAGGGAUUAAGAUUUCCAUCGCAUAUCUAAGUGAAAAUAUUGAUAACAGGAACCCUCAAAUAUUACACUAACUUCAAACUACAAAAUAUAUAUAUGCUUUUUAAUCCCUUUGUUAUUUGUAGACUCUUAAGGUUUCCGUCGCAUAUCUGAGUGAAAGUUUAAGAGGAAACGCCCUUGUCUGAAAACCAAGCAAACUCAACUGGAAGCAACUGUGAUACUCGUGGGAGAAGAAUUGUAUACAAGCAGGGCUGCAGGAUGGGAUGGAAUGGGAUGGGCAGGUAUUUCCUUGCCGCCUGAGAUCAAGGUAUAAAGAGGCCUGCCCACUUGCCAACCUGCCAACACCUGCCAAGCUGUAUCCCGUGUACCCAAAGGCCUCGUUAAACCCCCUCCACCGCUGCGAACCCUCCCUUCACUGCACUAGUUGUUAUUUUUUAUGUAAGAGGGGAAAUCUCGCGAAGGGCAACAGAAACUAUUAAAUAAAAAGCCCCACUUCGAUGCCAGUCCCGAGCAGGUUCGAGAGAGAGAGUGUCAAAAGAAUGGGAUGGAUAAAUAGUCUUGAAAGAAUCUAGUAAAUGUCUUAAAACCUCUCUCUUAAAUUAUUAUGUCCAUUAGCAUGCACUCUCGGCGUCCUGCUAGGGGUGUGGUCUGUCUCUUCACCUCUGAUGUUCGUUUAGUAAGUGAAUAUAUACUUAAGAGUUUAAUUUCUUUUAUUUGUUUGUCUGUUGCAUAUAUAAUACCUUUUUUUUUUCUCUCUUUCCUUCUCUUUCUUGUAGGAGGGAAACGGUGCAUGUGUGACUCGUGUUUGGAAGGGAAGAUAAAUAGUAAUUGGUAAUAAAAAGACAAGUUGUUUGUUUCUGAGGUCUUGUUUUCUGUACGUACCUCAGUAUUGAGACACAUUUUUACCUU
This 2906-nucleotide long non-coding RNA is filed under the name Portunus trituberculatus (swimming crab). Its description in RNAcentral is "uncharacterized LOC123518848". The record is from RNAcentral. Lineage: Eukaryota; Metazoa; Arthropoda; Malacostraca; Decapoda; Portunidae.